This 605-nucleotide ribosomal RNA is filed under the name Bacillus subtilis. Its description in RNAcentral is "bacterial SSU rRNA". It matches the Rfam family "Bacterial small subunit ribosomal RNA", at positions 64 to 654 of the family's 1533-position model. Lineage: Bacteria; Bacillati; Bacillota; Bacilli; Caryophanales; Bacillaceae. The record is from RNAcentral.
GAGCGGACAGAUGGGAGCUUGCUCCCUGAUGUUAGCGGCGGACGGGUGAGUAACACGUGGGUAACCUGCCUGUAAGACUGGGAUAACUCCGGGAAACCGGGGCUAAUACCGGAUGGUUGUUUGAACCGCAUGGUUCAAACAUAAAAGGUGGCUUCGGCUACCACUUACAGAUGGACCCGCGGCGCAUUAGCUAGUUGGUGAGGUAACGGCUCACCAAGGCAACGAUGCGUAGCCGACCUGAGAGGGUGAUCGGCCACACUGGGACUGAGACACGGCCCAGACUCCUACGGGAGGCAGCAGUAGGGAAUCUUCCGCAAUGGACGAAAGUCUGACGGAGCAACGCCGCGUGAGUGAUGAAGGUUUUCGGAUCGUAAAGCUCUGUUGUUAGGGAAGAACAAGUACCGUUCGAAUAGGGCGGUACCUUGACGGUACCUAACCAGAAAGCCACGGCUAACUACGUGCCAGCAGCCGCGGUAAUACGUAGGUGGCAAGCGUUGUCCGGAAUUAUUGGGCGUAAAGGGCUCGCAGGCGGUUUCUUAAGUCUGAUGUGAAAGCCCCCGGCUCAACCGGGGAGGAUCAUUGGGACUGGGACUGAGUGCGAAGAG